GCUCAGUUGGUAGAGCGGAGGACUGUAG
RNAcentral lists this non-coding RNA (28 nucleotides) under Cricetulus griseus (Chinese hamster). The record is from RNAcentral. Lineage: Eukaryota; Metazoa; Chordata; Mammalia; Rodentia; Cricetidae. RNAcentral also lists the same sequence under 1 other name.